RNAcentral lists this ribosomal RNA (253 nucleotides) under uncultured bacterium. RNAcentral's name for it is "partial 16S ribosomal RNA". It matches the Rfam family "Bacterial small subunit ribosomal RNA", at positions 524 to 776 of the family's 1533-position model. The record is from RNAcentral.
GACGAACCGUGCAAACGUUGUUCGGAAUCACUGGGCUUAAAGGGCGCGUAGGCGGGCUCGAUAGUCAGGGGUGAAAGCCCACAGCUCAACUGUGGAAGUGCCUUUGAUACUGCGAGUCUCGAGGGAGGUAGGGGCGUGCGGAACUUCCGGUGGAGCGGUGAAAUGCGUAGAUAUCGGAAGGAACACCGGUGGCGAAAGCGGCGCGCUGGACCUCUUCUGACGCUGAGGCGCGAAAGCCAGGGGAGCAAACGGG